GGAAAAAACACAUCUGGCGACAAUUGUCGACAAUAGAAUUCAUUGUCGACUUUUUUCAUUCUCGAUUUUUGACGACAAUGUGGACUAAUCAUUGCAGCCCUCGUAGAUUUGUCACUAGUUUAACUAUUGAGGAGCAGUCAUGUCAUCCAUUUUUAAGAAUAUGGAUGAGCGUUAUCCUUGAGUGACUCCAGGUUCAAUUUAGUUUGAGAAAAACAAAAGUGGUGUUGAUAAGAAAUCUGGAGUGCUGCCUGCUAAUGUUCCACUGAAGUUAAACAGCCUUAGUGUAUGACUCUUAAAUUUAUAUUCAGUGUACUUAACAUCAAGUCAACAAGUAAAGUUUGAUAAAUGAAGAAAAUUAAUGAUGCAUUGUUCCUUCAACAACAAAUAAGCUUUAUAAAUAACAGAAUACACAUACUUCUACUCACCGUAUACGUGCUGAUUGGUGUGUAUGUGGAGUCCUUGCAGGUGGGCGGGGCGUGAGCACUGUGUACCUGUCACCUUAUGUAAAUGUGACUCUUUAUUAAUAGCAGGGCAGCGGCUGUGCACCAAUGAAUGUCGAUGUGUCGAUGGGGGCCGGACCUCCCCUGUGACAGCGCUGAUUAGUGGUUGUGCGCGAGGGUCACUUCAGCGACUCCGCUUCUACAGGAGGGCGCGUGGCAUUCACUGACAACACCGGUCACCUUUUCUCACUCGACCUUACCGAGCGAAGAGAAGAAAGGAACAAGGAGGAGAGUCGGGACAUUUACAUAAAAGAGGAAAUGAAGAUGGAAAUUCUCUCGGCGGAGGCAUUAAUCCUAAACGGGAGAGACGUUGUGUAAAAUGUUGAUCAAAAAAUGAGCUUGAAAUGGAUGCAGUGACUAAAUGUGUUUACGGAUAGUUUUAGGAAGUGAUUCUGAGCCCAUGCAGAGAUUUCCACUACAGAGCCAUGCCUUUUUAAUGCAGUUCAACAGCCUAAAUCUCUGAUCUCCUCAUGAUAUAAUGCGCUGUAAGUGAUAAAAUCCUUCAAUCCUUUCCAAUUUUACGCUGAGAAACAUCAAUCUGAAACUGCUGAACUGCUUCCUCGAGGAGAUUUUAAACCUCUGCUUGUCUUCUCUCAACUAUAUAAAAGGUAUCACUGCUCCACCAGACUCAUGUGUACCAAGUUUGACGACUCUACUGUAUUUUGAGCCCUUGAAAAUACUACUUCCUGUUUGAAGGGGGAAUACAGCACCAGCAUAGCAACAGUCAUUGACUUAGCUUUUGGAGUGUGAGGGGUUGGAUUGUUUAGGAGACCUUAGCUAACCAGAUAGGAUCCGACAGUGGUUAUGUGAGGGCAGAAACUACUUGUUAAAAUUUGGUUCUUAAACUUUGAUGCUUGUGUUGACCACGCCCUUUGAUAAAAACUCUCAGUUUUCGGCACACAUCAAGAUCAACAGCUUAAGGAUAUCCUUGGCAGGUUUUGUGCAGGUAUGUUUAAUAGUCUCAGAGAUUCAGCUCAUAAACCGAUAGCAUGGAGCUCCCUAUUGCCACCAGAGGGUGCUAUGAUCAGGAUGUAAUAUUACCAAAUUAAUAUCUUGAGAAAAUGACCCCCAUUAUGCAUGGUGAGUUCAGGUGAGAUUGGAAAAAAAAAGACUUCCUGUGCAAAAGCAAAACAGUGAACUUUGAGGGCUCACCUUGGCAAAACCCUUUGAUAUUCAUCUGAUCAUUCGGGUCUUUUCUACCUUGAAAGUAAGAAUCAAGUGGAUUGGACAUACACUUUUGGAGACUAAACCUUCCAAAGGACCCAACCGUGUUAGCCAACUUUUCAUAAUUUGUCCAAAAUCAUUAAAAAAUAUCUUUUUUUACCAGUGCUGGCGAAGUUUCAUACAUUUUUGAGCAUGUUUAGACCAUACCUCCCAACACUCCUGUUUUUCCCAGGACUCUCCCAUAUUUCAAACCUAUCCCCCGCCCACCUCCUGUAUUGUCAUUACUCUCUAGAAUCUCCCGUAGUUUGAUGGUCCAUGGUCACUCAUGAAUCGGAUCACUAUAUUUCUCCAAAGUUGCCAGACAACUGAAGAUAGUCCUGUGUUUCUCCUGAGCCUCACAGACACUGGAUUGAUACUUUGACUUUACAGUUUGGGAUGAUUCAGGCCGUUUUAAUCUGUAAACUAUAUUUAAGCAGUGUUUGUUGCAAAAUGAACACUUCAGUAAGAGGGAAACAAACGCAAGAUAGAAUACUUGUGUUGAUAGUCUUGUACCGUCUCAGAGUGAUGCGUUCAGGGCAGCCUCAGACAAAAGAGUGCUGUAUUGCACAGAGAGCCUCAUACGAGAAAGCAUGUAAAACAGUAAUAUUAGUGGACUAAAUAAGUUCAAGGCAUAUCGUAGCCAUUAUUUUUCUUUUAUUACCAUCUGUUAUGUUUAAAACAGAACAAAAAAGUGUGCAGCUUCACUUCUACUUAUUUGGAUGAGCGAUUUAAUUACAAAUACUUUCAUAAUUAGCUCAUAUCCACCAUACAAGGUAACCCCAGAACUGCCCGGUCAUAAAAUACCCCAGACUUUGAGACCCCAGACCCUCAAAAGUGAAGGUAAAACAAUCAAGAAAUCCUGAAAUUGCAUUUUAAAUCAAAUGCAAAGUCCAUAAAACUUGUAACCAGUGAAUUCUGUCUUGAUGGCUAAUAUCUUGUCAUUGUUAGAGCCUGCGUCCAACGUCCUCCAUCUUGGCUCGUGAAGGACUUGAGAAGUUUCGAAUUUGAUUAAUAAAUACGGCGCCGCCUCGUCUGCAUCCAUAGAAACAGAAAUCCUGAUUGCCUGCUAGUUAUGAUAUCAUUGGGCAGGCGAGGAGAAGGGACAUUGGCAGUGUGACAUUGUCAUUUUCAAGUCUCAACUGACACCUGGGGCCACCCAAUGUCCCUCCAAAUUCUCCGACAGCAAGACAAUGGACGACAGCUUGGAGGACGAGUGCAACCAUACACAGCUUUGAUUGGUCUGCCAAUGGAAUAAUCAAGUGUUUCAAAUCUGAUUCCAGGGACAUUAUUUUGUAAUUCCAACUUUAAUUUGACUCCACAAAUGGAGCGUUGAGGCGGGAGGAUGAAUAUUGGGGAGAUUUCCUUCGGCUUGUUACGGGUUUGGUUUCACUUUCGAAGCUGACCUAAGAAAGGGGAAAAAAAAUCAGAAGAUCUUUUAACUGUGGACGUUUAAGAAGUUAAGCAUAAGCCAAAUCCAAAGCGCUCAGCGACAGUGAAGGAAAAAAAAAAAGUGUGAAAUUAUAGGAAGUUGGAGUGCUUUGUUUGUUUCAAAGCUUUCUACUCUCUCUCUCUCUGGUAGGGAUUUCCGAGUGCGAUCUUAAUCUCUUUAUUAUCUUUGAAGGCAUUUCACCUAUAGGACCUUGUGAAUAAGCCUAAUCUGAGGAAAAUAGCAAAAUAUUGAGCUCUGGCUGUGACUGAUAAAACAAGCUUUCUUUUUCCCGUCACGCUGUGUUCCUUCUUUUCCUUUUUUUGUGGCUCCUUUUAAGCAGCUAAAGAGCGCAAACCUUUAAUCAUGAGGCAAGGUGACCGCACACUCCGGUUAUCGGGCUCGCACAAACACACACUUGUAUUCACAAGCAGGGAAUGUCCUGUUUGCACUCAGAUAUGAACAAAGGUGUGAGUCAAACCAGAACAUCUACAUAUAGAGUGCGGAUAUACAACUUUUGCAUUGUUUUUUGGAGGAAAGUUUGAGUCCCGUCUCUUAUAUAAUACUCCUUCUCCCUCCACCUCCUUUCCCUCUAUCUUAUACACACUGGGAAACAUGCAGGCACCAACUGUAUUAUAAUAUAUUUCUUCUACUUUCCACAUUGAAAUUCAGCAGAUGUCAGUUCAGUAUUUCUUUUGCUGUGUAUUCGCAGGAUUUUAAAAGAUUGUCCCCAACUUUGGGAAAAGCAGGAAAUUACUUUUAAGGAGAAGGAGCUGAACAUAAACAUGGCGAAGACUCUGAUUUGACACCGUGGUGUAGCCUAUUUCUCGUAAGCCUUUUUAUCUGCAGUGCAUCAAUUUGGAGAGAAGAGGCAAAAAAAAAUAAGCUACUGAAAAGUUUAUUUUUUAACUUUUAUUAAUCAAAACACGCUUGAACUGAGUGGCACAUAUUCCAAAUGUGGUUUUAUUCGUCCCACAGCACAGAGAAGCGGCAGAUCUGAUGGGUCAAAGGAACGAAAAACAGUCACAGAACUCUUCAUAACCACUUCGCCCGGAGCGCGAGGCUCUAACAAGACAGUCAUCAUAAACAUGCCGAACAACCCCGCUGCAUACUGUAAGCAGAAAAAACGUCUCCAUCUGAUGUGACAGCUGAGCUAAGAGUGAGGACGCGCAACCCCCCGCAGCUAAGGGACAUUCAGGUUUUCAUUAGUCAUGCUUUUACCAAACAGCACAAACACCAACUCGCGAAGCUCUGACUCCGUCUGUAGAAAUAUGACAAAGUGAUUUAGACAGCACAGUUGCCGGCACACACACGCAGCAGCGAUGUUUUCCUCAUUACUUCGGAUGUUACCACACCCAGAGUAACCAUCAUUAUUAUCGUCGUGGCCGUAAUUGGAACUGUCAGCCGGCAGAAUAACCAUACAAAGGGAAUCCAUAUUUCAUAUUUUACACAGUCAGAGUCGAAAAUACAACUAAACAAGCAAGUUCUGUGAAAACAAUGGUAAUAAAAAAGUCUGUAAGUAACCAGAGGAAACAAAGUUUAACUUUUGUUUCCAUAAUUUUGAGUCCUUUUUGUGUCUAUAAGCCUUAUUGCUUUGUUUUUCAAGCACUUGUGUAUACGCUGUUAUGCAGAUGAUGCUGUGCUUAUACUCAAACAUUUAAUUAACUCACACUAUGUUGUAAAAAUCAAAGGAAAAACAACUAUGCAUUAGCCUGAGAUACUUCUUAUUAAUUGAUAUUGCAGUAUAGCAGUAAACUCCUGACAUUGGGCCUAUCAUGUCUUUGGGCUGGUCCCCAAAUGCCAAAGAAUCCCAUUAGGUCCCAUGUUUGAAGCCCAUCUUUACAGCAGAAUACAUAAACAGCCUGGUUCAAUAAAACUCUUGGUGUAUGUCACUCAUAUCUUUAACUGUUAAGACUGUACAGGAGUUAAUCUUUGUAAAUACAUCCAAGCAAUUGAAUUUCCCUGAACAUCAUCUGUCUCCAUAUCCUAUUGUUUUUUAAGUGUCAACUAUACAGGGGCAAGAUUUUUUCAGUUAGUUUUGCAUAAGUAAGCACAUCAAAAACAUGGCUAAUUUGGCCUCAACUUCACCUUUUUGCCUGUCUGGAUGAACUCUGAAUUAAAUUGGAGACAGGAUUUCGAAUAAGGCAACCACCGAAAACUAUAGGUGACGCUAUUAAGACUACAUCUAUGCUUUAUAUGGUCCAGGGAUAUUCUGGCGUAAAAUUAAUGUAGGGUCAAACACACCAUAACACCGAGUUAAACACCCCCUUGAGAGAUGAAUGUUGCCAACCGCUCGCUUCUCUAGUUACACCAACUUCAGUAACGACCACACAAUAGCAAUACACAAUCUCAACCAAAACGCCACUCUAUAGCCACAAAUAAUGCUCAGAACAGUUGUGUUAAGUCUCAUUGCUAAAGAGUCCAGUGCCCAGCCUAAAAGUUUUGGUAUCCCUUGCUAACUUUUGCACAAAUCAAAGAAAAGCACUUUCAUUCACUAAUCCAGACAACUCUACGUUUCUGUAUUAAUUGAUUUCAUUGGAAUCUUGUCACAAACUUGGGGAAGCUGUCAUGAUUUUUAAUUUGUUAACCUUUAAGAGUCGGGAAAUGAUGGCGAAAGAUAAAGCAGGUUUUGACGAUUUAAGAAAAUAUGGUUGUUUUAAAGUUUCUUUAAAAUUUGAAGGUUUAAAUCCCUCAAAUUAAAGCUUGUGUAAACCCUCUUAAUUGAUUUGUAGCUUGGUUCUUUGUCCAUAUUUUACUGCCAACAGAUGUUCACACUUUACAUUGGCAGGAAAUCAACAAUUCUCUCGCAUCCCUCUCCGUCUCUUUCCCCCGCCGUCCCCCCCACCUGUCAUGCGGGCCAAGCAGCUAUGACAGCCGUGUGAAUGUAACGCCGGAGUGAGAGCGACUCGAGCUGAAGCCCUCACUUCCACCGUGCCCCUUCCCCGGGGGAGGGUGACGCUUUUGCGGUGAACUCCUCCAUACCUACAUUGUUCCUGUAGCUCCGCCACUCUCUCCCGACAGACAUGCUACACCCACCUCCAUAUGGCGUCUCCGCACAGCGCGCUUCCCCCGGGGAGCCAAAGGGCGCCUCAGUUUGCUAUUUCUAGACAAGCAAAUCAUGUUGGUGUGCAUGUGUGAGGCGAAAGUGCAGACUGAAACUUUCUCACUAAAGGGAAUGUCAGUUUAAAAACAUGAUUUGGCAGCAGACGAGAUAAAUAUGACUUCAGUCUCUGGGCAGCGUAUUUGUUCUCCUUUUGGCUCUCUGAGGAACGAGAAGAUGAGGUAGCAAGAGGGUGUCAGAGGCGGGGUCGAAGGGAUCCUUGGAGUUGGAAUAAAUGUUUACAUGAACUCAAAAUACUUUUAAGAUACUGUUUUUUUUUGGAUUUCAGAACUAGCUGUAUUGAUUUUAGAGCCUCUAUGCGCCUAUGGGAACUCAGACACUGGAUAUCCAAUUCUUCUGAAAGAGUUUACUGCAAGAGAGAUUCCAUUAAAACCUCAAGACAACUUGCAUUGAAAUGGGCAUGAAGGCAGCCAAUUUAUGGGGAAUAUGCACAGUUGAAUGACAAUGCUAGCUUUGAGAAAAGAAAAGUACACAAUAGAGUAUAAUUUGUGUCAUUAUUUCAUGGUGUACACAUGGGAGAAAUGAACAGACCAAACGUGAUCACCUCCAUCAAACGCUCUUCUCCAAGUUUAGACAUCAGUAAUCUGUUAAUCAGGACUAAAUAUGACUUUUUUUUUCCUAAAGUAUGUGUGAUGGUGAGGGUAUGUCUUCUAGGUGUAACUUUCUACAAGUCAAAGACCGUAAAGCUCCUGUGAGGAACUUUCGGUUUGUGUCAAUUUUGGCGCCCCCAUGUGACUUAUCUUGUCACAAACCCAGAAAUAGUAGAACCAGUGCAGUGGUUUCAAUUUUUAUCUUGAGCAUGAGUGUGUUCAGAUCAAUGUCUAAUAUAUACAUAUUUAAAACCCAUACAAUUAUAGUUGAUAACUAAUCAACAUACCCAAAGGUAAGAAACCCCCGAGAAAACAGUCAAAAUUGAGAGAUAGUUAUCUGAUGAGACUAAGCUAACCCCCAAUUUCCACCACAUCCGGAACUGCCUCAAAAAGGCCGUAUCCACCAAUCAUAGCUGAUCGUAAGCAUUCAAGUUAAUGUGUCAAUUUCCACCAGUUUCUAUCUGUUCAGCUGUGGAUCGCCGGACUCCACAACUGAUCGCAAGAGUUCUAUUUUUACCUGACGACAGAGCAUGCCGGAUAAAUUCAGCAUAGAUUAACCUGUGCUGGAAAGGAAGUUGGGCACAGACACACCCGCGUGUUCUUGUGAGUUCUUGCGAUUCCUGAUAUCCCUAAUCUACCAGGAAAUUCGCCUCAUAAACGGAUCUGGUAGGAAUUGGUGGAUGGCGAAAAUCGCUGCCGUUCCGGAUUAAAGCCAUUCCGGAUGUAGUGGAAAUUUGGGGUAAGGAUCACAGAGGAAAUGAAAUAAGGAAAUAAGGAAAUAUCAAAGGUGUUAGUUGAAGUUAUAUGACACUCAAACUAUGGCACUUAAGGCCAACAGUAAUAAAUAUGAAUAAUGUGUUUAAUUGAGUAAUAACGCCAACUAACAAAGUUUACAAUGUGAAGUCACAGAGUUGCUCAAACAUGCACAUGUCGACUGUUUGGUACGUAAAAACACAUCGAGGAGAAAGCAGAGACAACCUUGUGCAAUGGGGACUGAACUCAGACUUGUGUAAAUAUGUUAGCUGGUAUUUUGAUGAUGUUGGUUUUUCUCUGGUUUGGCCUCCUGACUACAAAUAAAUAAGAGUUUCUGGUCUUUGAAAGCUUCUGAGCUUUUAGACUCGAACUAGACUUGAGGUUUGGUGACUACAACGCUUUCCCUGCAGGUUCAUCACAUAAAAUUAGCAUUGUCAAGAACUUCUCAAGCAUGCAUCUCGAGAAUUAUGGCGUGGAUUGUACUGGAUUGGAUUGUCCCAUUGGCUGUUUAUAUAAUACCUGUUUUUUCACUGAUGAAUGGUACUCUACAUUCACAGAGCGGUGCAGUCCUGAUCAAGGCCCAGAUAGUGCGGUAUGGAAAUUCUCUGCAGAGUUUGCACUCUUCGUCAAUGAGAAUAAUCCUCACUGAAUUUUGCAACAAGUCUAAUGUGUAAAAAGAAAUUGGAAAGAAAAGCUGCAGGCUAAAAAUUUCAUCCAACUCUAGUGAAAGGCCCGUGUUUUGACAGUUUGACAGCUUUGUUUCAGUACAUAUGGUUGUCUUCGGCGCUUGUGAACCGACUCGCACGGGGGAGACGAAGACAAAGGAACACAUAUUCUAACAAUUCUAAAAAUGGUUCCUGCUGGUGGCGGCAAGACACGCGGAAAAUAGUGGGAUUUCUACACCUAUAUGUUAUAAACAUAGCUUUGUGGACGUGCCCAGAGCGAAAUAUUGUUCUUGAGGCAAUUGAUUCAUGGAGUGAUCGCACAGGUUUGUAAAAUUCCUGUUUUUUUAAAAAUGACUCACAGAUUUGGCAAACUGUUUUCAUGCUCUCGGCCAAAAACAGGCAGAUUGGGACAUUAUGAAGUCAAAUUCAAACACGGCGGAUACAUUAUCAGAGAUUAAACCUUCAAGUGUUGUAAGGCUAAAUAUACGCUCCCACUAUGAUAACUACAUAUGCUUUUUUAUUAGCGUCUUCAUUGAAAUGGCUUUCUAAUUUGGGGCAUUGGAUUCAGGAGGGGGCAUCGGAGGGUGGCCCAACAGAUUGGUUGAAUUGCUUUUUUUUCCCCCCUUCUUAAAAUGACUCAGGUUUUGGCAAACAGUUUAUCACUCCUGGCCCAAAUACAGGCAGAUUGGGAAAUUAUCAAUUCAAAUUCAACCAGGGUAGGCAGAGAAAGAUACGGAGCAGGUGCCAUGGCACUAACACAACAAGCUGUUAAAAUAAGAGGGUGGAAUGGAGGUCACGCAAUUAGCCUCCAUUUUCCACUUGAAUUCAGGUUGAACUUGAGUACUGUAGCUUCUUUUCCAACAAACACUCCAUGAUUCUGUAAGAUAACACGUGAAAGGAGCAACAAUAGAUUGAAUCAGUCUCCUGCUUUGCGCUGACCUUCACAUCCGUGAUCAUGUGCUGUUCACGCAGCCAAAAUUGGAUUGACUUAAUAAGGUAAAAACGCUGGAGUGUACGGUUAACCGUGCUCUUUAAACGCGCAAGGACGCCGCAGAUUGCCGAUGCUUUUGUGAAGAUCAGUCCAGAGCGCCUGAUCAGGAUUUAAUCCACAGUGUAAUUAUAAAGAAAGGGAAGAGGACUUCUGCUUUGCUGUGUGUUAAUCUCGCUCUGCCGGGUGUUGUUUUUUUUUGUUCCUUGUAAUGAUUCCCAGUCUUUUCGGGGGAAGCCAGAUUCUCACAGCUGCCGGUGUUCCCGUACAGUAUGCCUGUGUGGUUCGAAAGCUUUGGAUUGUUUAUCAAGGGCAUAUGUCGGAGGAAGAAUCCUGUUUAGAUGCUGUUUCAACAGACAUUCUUGUAAAUAAGUUUUCCUUUUAGUUAUAUUCUCCGAGUCUUGUUAGCAUUAGCGCUUAUUUCGAAGCACAGAUUGGUCAGCAUAAACAAUAAAUCAGCUACAUAUGGGCAAACAUUCACAAGAGGAUAAGUCUUUGUACGGCUGUGGUUUUCUUUACUCUCAGACACUCUUAACACACACUCCAGCACACACGUAUUAACACACACUCGCAUUUGCAUUUGAGCUAAUCCCAGAGGUGUAAUCAAUGCGGAAAUACUUGGCAUCAGCACUAUGACAGCAUGCUGCGGCACAGCUAGCAUAGCAAUGAGUAUACAGCAAAUCAAGCCUCAGGAAUGGGAGCCUUAUUAAAUAAAAGCAGGAAGGGUCAAUACGAGCUAUUGACGAGUCCAUGAAGCUUGUACUUCAAAGUGUCCCCCCCCCCCCCCUCUCUUUCUCUCUUUUGCUUUUUACCAGCCCAGCGGGGAGACAAGGCAGCCCAGUCUGUGUCAAAACUGGGAUCCUUGAAUGCUAAUGCGGUGUCCUUGGGAGGUAACUUUGUUGCGCCCCAUGAGGAAAACUUCAAACUCCCAUCACAAAUCAGAGCGCGGAGAGAUCCCAGGGGUAUCGCACCCAGGGCAGUACGGUUAAACAUGUUUCCACUCACAAAUGGACACAAAAGCAAACCUAUAAGUGCACAUACACAAACAACUGCUCAAGUAUGACAGUCUGGGUCAACAUCGAGCCUUGAAAGAUACAUAAAGUGCCAACUGUUUAUAUCUGCUGUAGAAUAAAGGGCCACGAAGAAGGAUGCAGUUCAAUGAUGUACGUCCUUAUGGUCCUCUCUACCUGGCCUCUCUUUGUUUAAUUCACAUUGUCAAUUGUUGAAUGAUAAUGUCCAUGAAAACCCUCUCUCGAUCCCUCCGUUCUCAACAGGUCUGUCUCAAACCUGCCGUUUCUACCCGAGAUUUUAGAAAAAUGGUUCUCCACACAGCUGAUUUUCUUUUCUGAAAGACAGUCUGAAAUUUCAAUCUGGUUUCCACUCCCAACACAGCAAAGAGACAGCUCUGGUCAAGGUCUGUAAUGACUUCUUGCUUGCAGCUGAUUCUGGCUUGCACUCCUGACCUCCGUCCGGCCUUGGAAACAGUCGACCACAAAGUCUAAAUCAGCCAAUGUGGCGCUGGAGUGCUCCAUUUCCUAUCUGUCAACCAGCUUUUUUUUUUUCCUGUAGUGCUUUGAAAUGCCUCCUUCUCUUGCGCUCCUCGUGUGGAUUCCCCCAGGGGUCUAUCCUGGGUCCCCUUAUUUACUAUUCACUGUAUACCUGCUUCCCCAGGGGACAAUCCUAGCCUGGCUGGGCCAUCUGGUUGCGUGAAUCACUUGCCGUUCCUUCCCACAACAGUCUGGACUUCAGCCAAUUGGGAGCGUGUAUUAGAAAUCAGAAAAUAAUCGGGCCAAUCAGUGACUGUGUUUCCACUGUUCCCCAGACAACAGGGAAAGGCAGCCCCUGAUUGGUCAAUGUGUAGAUGGUGACGUCUAAACACAUGCUGCGGGACUUUUCAAAGUGCCGUUAAUUCUUCAGUUGACUUUGCAAAGUCGUCAGAAAUCGUAAAAGACAUUGUUCGCUCGCACAUGUUGAAAUAUUACCAAACCUUUACUUGAUGCUUGAGAGCCCAGCAGGGAACACAGUUGCGCACUGUGAUGACGUCACAUGUUCGGUUACGGUGAUUGGUUACAGUAGUCUGUCUAUCAAGGAAAGUACUCCCGCCCACUUUUAGGGCUCCCAAUCGGCCGAAGUCCAGACUGUUGUGGGAAGGAACGGCAAGUGAUUCACCUAACUGGAUGGCCCAGCCAGGAUAGGAAAAUCCUACAUAGGCACUGCAUAGACCUUCCCUGUUAUGCAGAUGACCCCCAGCUCUAUGGCACCAAAAUUGGAGGUUACCACCAUUACUACCCCAACCCUGAGUUUUAGCCACAUUAAUCUUAUUUAGGUACUAAUUCCAAUCCUUGAGCACUUUGUGGCUUGUUUUUGAAAUGCUGUAUAAAAGAAAUUAGUAUUUGAAAUGUUCUCAUGGACAACAUUCAGUUCAAUAACCAAAAUCCUUUUGCUUUUCUUCAUUUCCACACACUAACAAGCAAGACAGCCCGUGUGACGACAAUGGCUGCCGACUAAAUGGAUUUGUGUUUGACUUUCCCCUUUUGGUCCCGAUAUGACAACUGAAGAAUGGAUAAAUCUAAGGGAAGAGGAUAAGCCAAAGACACUGGCAGUUUAAACCGCUAAAACUUCUUAACAUCAGUGGAGUCAGUAUCAGAGCCGGAGCUGAAUGAACUUCAGCGUGUUCAGAUAAAUUUCGACAAUAAUCCUGGACGAAAAAGUCAGACGUUACGCUGAAAGCUGGAUCAUGCAAAAGGGGAACUUGAAAGAGCAGGAAAUGUUUGUCCUUGUUAAGAUGAAUGUAAAACGUCUCAUUGAGUGCUCUUCAUUUCAUACUAUUCAUACUUACUGUAUAUCUACUAGAAACUGUAGAUGAAUGCGGUGUUGAAUUAUCUCCUGAUGUUCUUUUAGCACUCAGUAAGGAUUAUAUUAUUCGACAAAGACAUAAACUAUGAAUAUCAUUUUCUUAACCUUACUUGUAGAAAUCUAGAAACCAAUUUUCUUUUGGUUUACUUAUUUCAGCGUUAUCCUUAUGAAGAGAAGAAAGAAGGAGGUUAUGUUUUCGGUAGCGUUGGUUUGUUUGUCUGUUUAGCAACUUUACGGAGAAAGUUACAGACGGAUUGACCUGAAAUUUUCCCAUUAAAUUUUGGUGGUGAUCCGGACAAAAUUCUGGAUACUGUGAACCAGAACACACAAAAAUAAGGGUGUUGUUGGAAUUUUCAAUGCUGAAAGAUAACCAAUGGGCGGCACAGUGGUGUAGUGGUUAGCACUGUCGCCUCAAAACCGGAGGGUUCUGGGUUCGAAACCUGGUCAGGGCAUUUCUUGUUUUUAGGAACAUUAUGAACAGUGGACAUACCAGUUUAAACACAAAUAAAAGUUAAUAAAAGACACGUAACAGUAAAAGUUUUGGUGUGAAUCACAGUAUAAGGGGGGACAUGAGCUGCUUGGCAGAGGUCUGCGCUCUCUGAGUGCUUUUCUAGUUUCUGACAUGAUGUUGAGAAAACAUGGACUUGGAUGUUGUAUACAUUUAGGUAUAAGUAUCAUCAAAGGUAUUACAUAGGCUACAGUUCAUACUUUAUAUUAGAUGUGUUGAAUUAAAGUAUUUGUGUUUUGUUUUAGCUAUUUUAAUGUCUUAUUUAGGUUACUUUCAACAGAAAACGUCUGUAAAAGCAGCUUUACCUGUGCUAGCUGCAUCAAAAAGUAGACUGACACGGUUAGCAUUAAGCUAAGUGAACACCAGCUCCAAAAAUUGUAAGUAAUGAAGGACUAAAUGGACUGUUUUCUUACUAUUUUGUCAAAAAAAAUGCUUUCCAUAUCAGCUGACAAGUCUGGGCUUUAACCUAUAUAUAAUAUGAGUAUUAUGAUAUAUGAUAUAAUAUGAGUAUUUAAGAAAAUUAAGUUAUGAUUUAGUAACUCACAUGUGCAGACCAGUCAGAAGCAGAUCUACCCUGCUGGAAUAUCUCUAUUCAGCCGCCUUAUCCUAAUGGAAACUGCUUCUUUUGCUGACAACCGCUCCCUGCGUUUAAUACCAAACACUCACUUCAAAUGGGUUGUAACCUGUGGGGGGAUUGUGCCCCGCUGCUGUCCUCAAACUUUUUCACAUGAAUGCUAUUGACCUGAGUCUUCUUAGGGGGUACAGUAGGCCUCUAAAUCCACGUGCUCCACAAUCUCAGCAGAUUGAUGCGGCUCUGGAGUGAGUAACUCCAUUGAUUUCAUUUCACAGGGCAUUCGAUUCAGUAGAUCAUAGCACCUACAACAAGAUUGGGUUGGCAUGGAUUUUCUCCACCGGGUCAAAGAGGCUUAGACCAUAAUUGUUUUUUAUUACUUUUUGGCUCUAAAAACACACCCAUGUAUCAUAUUUCUGACGACUGCUCGAUACCCAGCACACAUCUCCGUCAUAGGUCACUUCUCCCCGGGCCGUUCUUUCUCUGCUGUCUUUUAUUGAGAAAUUCUAUUUGAUUAGCCGUGAACCUUUAAUGUAUAAAGUGCAACGCAGGUCCCCGCUGACAACUUACUCUCUCUUGGCUUUCUGUGUAGAUCUGGCACACAUGACAUGUGAAGACCUUUUGGCUUCGAGGCGCUUAAAGC
Molecule: long non-coding RNA, 13824 nt
Filed under: Xyrichtys novacula (pearly razorfish)
Lineage: Eukaryota; Metazoa; Chordata; Actinopteri; Labriformes; Labridae
Source: RNAcentral